AGUUUGAUCCUGGCUCAGGAUGAACGCUGGCGGCGUGCUUAACACAUGCAAGUCGAACGGAGACAAACGCCGAUUGAAGCUUCGGCAGAAAUCAUGUUUGUCUUAGUGGCGGACGGGUGAGUAACGCGUGGGUAACCUGCCUUAUACCGGGGGAUAACACUUAGAAAUAGGUGCUAAUACCGCAUAAGCGCACAGCUUCGCAUGAAGCAGUGUGAAAAACUCCGGUGGUAUAAGAUGGACCCGCGUCUGAUUAGCCAGUUGGUGAGGUAACGGCUCACCAAAGCAACGAUCAGUAGCCGGCCUGAGAGGGUGAACGGCCACAUUGGGACUGAGACACGGCCCAAACUCCUACGGGAGGCAGCAGUGGGGAAUAUUGGACAAUGGGGGAAACCCUGAUCCAGCGACGCCGCGUGAGUGAAGAAGUAUUUCGGUAUGUAAAGCUCUAUCAGCAGGGAAGAUAAUGACGGUACCUGACUAAGAAGCCCCGGCUAACUACGUGCC
RNAcentral lists this ribosomal RNA (501 nucleotides) under uncultured organism. RNAcentral's name for it is "SSU rRNA". It matches the Rfam family "Bacterial small subunit ribosomal RNA", at positions 10 to 509 of the family's 1533-position model. The record is from RNAcentral.